CUACGGGCGGCACCAGUGGGGAAUAUUGGACAAUGGGGGAAACCCUGAUCCAGCAAUGCCGCGUGUGUGAAGAAGGCCUGCGGGUUGUAAAGCACUUUCGGUUGGGAGGACUGCUUCUAGCACUAAUAUUGUUGGAAGUUGACGUUACCUUCAGAAGAAGCACCGGCUAACUCCGUGCCAGCAUCCGCGGUAAUACGGAGGGUGCAAGCGUUAAUCGGAAUUACUGGGCGUAAAGCGCGCGUAGGCGGCUAGAUCAGUCGGGUGUGAAAGCCCAGGGCUUAACCUGGGAACUGCAUCCGAUACUGUCUAGCUUGAGUACAGGAGAGGAGAGUGGAAUUCCACAUGUAGCGGUGAAAUGCGUAGAUAUGUGGAGGAACACCAAUGGCGAAGGCAGCUCUCUGGCCUGAUACUGACGCUGAGGUGCGAAAGCGUGGGGAGCAAACAGGAUUAGAUACCCCGGUAGUC
This 465-nucleotide ribosomal RNA is filed under the name uncultured bacterium. RNAcentral describes it as "partial 16S ribosomal RNA". It matches the Rfam family "Bacterial small subunit ribosomal RNA", at positions 339 to 795 of the family's 1533-position model. The record is from RNAcentral.